UACGUAGGGUGCGAGCGUUGUCCGGAAUUAUUGGGCGUAAAGAGCUUGUAGGCGGUUUGUCGCGUCUGCUGUGAAAAUCCGGGGCUCAACCCCGGACUUGCAGUGGGUACGGGCAGACUAGAGUGUGGUAGGGGAGACUGGAAUUCCUGGUGAUAGCGGUGAAAUGCGCAGAUAUCAGGAGGAACACCCGAUGGGCGAAGGCAGGUCUCUGGGCCACUAACUGACGCU
Molecule: ribosomal RNA, 228 nt
Filed under: uncultured bacterium
Lineage: Bacteria
Description: partial 16S ribosomal RNA
Rfam family: Bacterial small subunit ribosomal RNA
Source: RNAcentral